This 690-nucleotide ribosomal RNA is filed under the name Pedobacter sp. B-RO8-7. Its description in RNAcentral is "bacterial SSU rRNA". It matches the Rfam family "Bacterial small subunit ribosomal RNA", at positions 94 to 782 of the family's 1533-position model. Lineage: Bacteria; Pseudomonadati; Bacteroidota; Sphingobacteriia; Sphingobacteriales; Sphingobacteriaceae. The record is from RNAcentral.
ACCGGCGCACGGGUGCGUAACGCGUAUGCAACCUACCUUUAUCUGGGGGAUAGCCCGGAGAAAUCCGGAUUAAUACCGCAUAAAAUCACAGAAUGGCAUUAUUCAAUGAUCAAACAUUAAUGGGAUAGAGAUGGGCAUGCGUGUCAUUAGCUAGUUGGCGGGGUAACGGCCCACCAAGGCGACGAUGACUAGGGGAUCUGAGAGGAUGACCCCCCACACUGGUACUGAGACACGGACCAGACUCCUACGGGAGGCAGCAGUAAGGAAUAUUGGUCAAUGGAGGCAACUCUGAACCAGCCAUGCCGCGUGCAGGACGACUGCCCUAUGGGUUGUAAACUGCUUUUAUCCGGGAAUAAACCUCCUUACGUGUAAGGAGCUGAAUGUACCGGAAGAAUAAGGAUCGGCUAACUCCGUGCCAGCAGCCGCGGUAAUACGGAGGAUCCAAGCGUUAUCCGGAUUUAUUGGGUUUAAAGGGUGCGUAGGCGGCCCGUUAAGUCAGGGGUGAAAGACGGUAGCUCAACUAUCGCAGUGCCUUUGAUACUGACGGGCUUGAAUGAACUAGAGGUAGGCGGAAUGAGACAAGUAGCGGUGAAAUGCAUAGAUAUGUCUCAGAACACCGAUUGCGAAGGCAGCUUACUAUGGUUUAAUUGACGCUGAGGCACGAAAGCGUGGGGAUCAAACAGGAUUAGA